UACGUAGGUGGCGAGCGUUGUCCGGAUUUAUUGGGUUUAAAGGGUGCGUAGGCGGCUAUUUAAGUCAGCGGUGAAAUAUCUCAGCUUAACUGAGAGGGUGCCAUUGAUACUGGAUAGCUUGAGUACAGAUGAGGUAGGCGGAAUUGACGGUGUAGCGGUGAAAUGCAUAGAUAUCGUCAAGAACACCGAUAGCGAAGGCAGCUUACCAAGCUGUAACUGACGCUGAGGCACGAAAGUGUGGGGAUCAAACAGG
RNAcentral lists this ribosomal RNA (253 nucleotides) under uncultured bacterium. Its description in RNAcentral is "partial 16S ribosomal RNA". It matches the Rfam family "Bacterial small subunit ribosomal RNA", at positions 524 to 776 of the family's 1533-position model. The record is from RNAcentral.